Long non-coding RNA from Drosophila pseudoobscura, 905 nucleotides. RefSeq lists it as uncharacterized. The record is from RefSeq and is a predicted model, not a curated record. NCBI's taxonomy places the organism in Eukaryota, Metazoa, Arthropoda, Insecta, Diptera, Drosophilidae. The transcript has 2 exons.
AAUAUUUACACGGCUUUUUCAAGAAUAUGUAAAAGUUCUGGAGCAAUUUGUCAGUGGACUUAUCGAUAAAAUAUACACCAGGAAUACACCGAAAUAUACCGUCUCUUCUUCAAAAUACACCGUAAAGCUUGGCCGUUUUUGUUUUCAUAUAAGCCCCAUGGAAGCGCCAGUGUAAAAAACCUCCGUUAUCCACUUUUGUUCAUUUUUUUCCGACAUUGUUGACAAAAUUGAGAUUUUGCUGAUCAUAAAUUAGUUUCUGAUGUUGUAUGGGCUCUAUAUGGCUCUUCUACACGAUUCUUACAUUGGUGCAUUGGACAAGAGGGUAUGACCAUAACGCCUUUUCAAAAUGACUGGAAAAUUUUAGAAAAUACUAUGAAAACUAGCACCACGUGCAAGGUGUGUGAGCUAGAUAUGGUGUCUAAACUGCCAAGAAAAUCAGAGGACUUGUCGAGCUUUUGACCCAAGUUAUACCCUGGUGAUCCACUUGAAUUAUGCCGCGAAAAAUAAUUCUAUUAUUUACACUUGAACUGUCCUAAUUCUUUACGUGAAGUGUACUUUUAAUACCCAAUGGUAGAUUCUGUGUCGAAUCGAUAUCGAUAAUUUGUGGAUCGUUAGGCGGGGCUUCUGAAAAUGGUCUUGCACUCGAAAAAAUGAGCAAUUUACCAUGUAUAUUUGGCAUUAAUCAUUCAUUUAUAUAAGCUUUCAUAUAUAUGUAUGUAUAUAUAUUUAUAUAAACAAAAAAAUAUACAUUUAGUCGGAACAUAAGAAUAUAAAAUUCAAAUUAACAAAAAAAAUACACAGUACAUAGUAUAAAUUACACGAAUAUAACACAAAAAAAAUUCAUCUUUCCAUUGAUGUAAAGCCACUUUUUUGUCGAAUGUCCUAGUAAAUUCCUUAUGCUGUAU